Long non-coding RNA from Salvia miltiorrhiza (redroot sage), 2225 nucleotides. RefSeq lists it as uncharacterized. The record is from RefSeq and is a predicted model, not a curated record. The transcript is spliced from 2 exons. Lineage: Eukaryota; Viridiplantae; Streptophyta; Magnoliopsida; Lamiales; Lamiaceae.
CGAGAACAUAAGGUCAAACCUUAGCUCGAUGAAAAUUCUCAAAUAAAUGAGAAUGCGUAAAAUAAAUAUGCAUGACUCAUAUUCCUUUAAUUAUUAUUCUGGGAUAAUAAUCUGAAAAAAAUUCUAAUAAUAAUCCAAACUAUAGGAUUACAGCUCGUCUUAUGAGAUUGAGUUAUUAAUCUUAAUUAAUCCACUCAUCUCAUAGGUUUGCUAACCCAUUUACUAAUUAAUAACCUCGUCCUAAAUUAAUAAAUAGCUGAAUCCAAUUAAUCAAAUCUAGACUAGUCUUUAAUCGAACUAGAAUAAAAUAAUAAGGCAACCUCAUUAUUUAAAGGGAGCAACAUAGGACAGCCCAAAUAAAUAGAUAAGGAACUGGGCCUGGAAACCAUCUAAUCAUACAGUCCAUUCUAACUCUGGCCCAGCUUAAAUAUACAGCUCUUAAAAAGAUCAGCCCAUUUCUAUUAAUACUGGUCCAAGAAUGCGGCCCAUCUGAAAUAAAUAAACUGACCUAACAGAAAGAAAUAAAAUAAUGGCCCAUAAUUAAGAAAAUAAAGGCCCAAUUCCAAUCAGCCCAUUUCUCUCUCUCAUCAAUCGGUCUUCCUCUCUCUAAUUACACACACACUCGCAGCAAACCUCUCCCUCUCUCGCUUGGUUCCGCUCACAGGCACAUGCCCAAAUCUGUCGCCGUUCGUCGAUUGUCGCAGUCGCGGCGGCGGCUCCUGAUAAUCCGGCGAAGCCUACGCCUUCAACGGCCUUGUCUUCUCUCUACUCAAGUUAUGCUCAAUCAAAAUCAGGAAUUGAACCCUAACUCCUUCAUUUCUCAAAUCGCCGCCGUCGCGGAUCUUCUCCGGCGAAGCAGGCCGCUGUUUCCGAGGCUCUAAAACUCCAGUGCCGCUUCUCUCAACCGGCGUGGUCGAUGCCUCUAAUAUCGGUGAAGAUCUGGUGCAACCGCCGCCGUCCGCCGACACGCGUGGAAGCUCUAUCGCCGGACGUCGCCGCUGCUGAGGUAACGCCGCCGCCCGGAGUUGCAGCUGCUUUGCCCGGAAUCGAGGUCGCUGGUCUGAUCUCCAGCAGCCCGCCUCGCUCCUCGUCUCUUCCACGAAGGAAAAGCAAAGCCCCAAUUCUCCCUUGAAGUUUCAAACGGGUUUUCUCCCCCAAAAUCAGAUCGGCCUUCCCUUUCAACUCCGGUCGGCUUCUCCUUCCCCGGCCGUUCAACUUCCGCCAGCUCCAUCCAGCGUUGGCUGUCUCCGUGUCUAACCCCGGCGUCGUCCCCUCUCGGUUCAGCUACGCUGCUGCUGGUUCAGAAUCGGCGAGGGUCGUUGGGAGUCGUCGUGCCCUUGGCUCUUUCUCUGAAAUCGCAGCGCCGUCACCUCGAAUCUGAAAAUCCGGCGAGGCCGACGCUAAAUUACUCAACCGGAAACAAAUUCGACUGCUCCUCUCUUCCCCGUGUUGUAGCAGAUCAGUCGUCGUUGUUGGGUCUGUAAACCCAGCGACUAGCGGUCGCCGUUUGUCCCUGGCGCCGCUCUCCCCAUUCUUCAGCAAGAUACUAUCUUGCUGAAGCCGCUGCUCCGGCUUCUGAACCAUCGCUGCCCCUGCUCGAACUCCGGCGAGCCAGCAUCAUUCAAGGCAAAGCUAAGUGAACUAUGGAAGAAUGGGGAAGUUCAAGCUACAACUUACCUCUUCGAAAUCAAGGCUGGAGUUAAAAGAAACAACCCUCCCUCUCUGAACCUUGGUGCGCCUAAAAGAAGGAAAAGAAUUAUGGCUGGUGUUGUAUUUUUUUUUUUUAAGUGAAGUUGGCUACUUGACUAUCUUAAUUCCAUAAGAGAGCUUACAAGUGAAGGAAUAGGAUUAGGUAUAAGGUGUGCGGCUGAAAGACCGCUACUUUGUACUAUAGCAUGACUGUGAGUAGGUGGCCGCAGAGUUUGAAGGAAGGGGCGUGCUGUAACAGUAAUUGAUGUUUCUUUCACCUUUUUGUUGCACUCACACGUUCUCUUCUUUCCUCCUUUUCUCUUUUCCUUCUUUUGAUAAAGUUUCAUACUUUUUCUUUUCCUUCUUCUUUUUGCACUAGAUAGUGAAUAGUAGUGUAGAAAUGAUUGUUGAUAGUAUUUGUUGGAGAGCAUGCGUGUAGUAUGCUAUGAUUGUAAGUGUUGGAAAGUCUUGAGGUGACAAAUAGAAUCCCAUAGUAGUUUUUGUAUCAAUUGAGGAUCUAUAAAUCUAAUUUUUUU